This 492-nucleotide ribosomal RNA is filed under the name uncultured bacterium. RNAcentral's name for it is "partial 16S ribosomal RNA". It matches the Rfam family "Bacterial small subunit ribosomal RNA", at positions 29 to 507 of the family's 1533-position model. The record is from RNAcentral.
AGUGAACGCUGGCGGUAGGCCUAACACAUGCAAGUCGAACGGCAGCACAGUAAGAUCUUGCUCUUACGGGUGGCGAGUGGCGGACGGGUGAGGAAUACAUCGGAAUCUACUUUUUCGUGGGGGAUAACGUAGGGAAACUUACGCUAAUACCGCAUACGACCUACGGGUGAAAGCAGUGGAUCUUCGGACCUUGCGCGAUUGAAUGAGCCGAUGUCGGAUUAGCUAGUUGGCGGGGUAAAGGCCCACCAAGGCGACGAUCCGUAGCUGGUCUGAGAGGAUGAUCGGCGACACUGGAACUGAGACACGGUCCAGACUACUAAGGGAGGCAGCAGUGGGGAAUAUUGGACAGUGGGCGCAAGCAUGAUCCAGCCAUACCGCGUGGGUGAAGAAGGCCUUCGGGUUGUGAAGCCCGUUUGUUGGGAAAGAAAAGCAGCAGGUUAAUACGCAGCUGUUCUGACGGUACCCAAAGAAUAAGCACCGGCUAACUUCGUG